This 514-nucleotide ribosomal RNA is filed under the name uncultured bacterium. RNAcentral's name for it is "bacterial SSU rRNA". It matches the Rfam family "Bacterial small subunit ribosomal RNA", at positions 32 to 518 of the family's 1533-position model. The record is from RNAcentral.
AACGCUGGCGGCGUGCCUAAUACAUGCAAGUCGAACGGUCUUUCUAUGGAAGCUUGCUUCCACUGAGAAGAUAGUGGCGAACGGGUGAGUAACACGUGGGUAACCUGCCCAUAAGAGGGGGAUAACAUCCGGAAACGGGUGCUAAUACCGCAUAGUUUUCUUGGUCGCAUGAUCGGGAAAGGAAAGACGGCCUUUGUGCUGUCGCUUAUGGAUGGACCCGCGGCGUAUUAGUUAGUUGGUGAGGUAACGGCUCACCAAGACGAUGAUACGUAGCCGACCUGAGAGGGUGAUCGGCCACAUUGGGACUGAGACACGGCCCAAACUCCUACGGGAGGCAGCAGUAGGGAAUCUUCCGCAAUGGACGAAAGUCUGACGGAGCAACGCCGCGUGAGUGAAGAAAAGGUUUUCGGAUCGUAAAACUCUGUUGUCAGAGAAGAACAAGUUGGAGAGUAACUGCUCCAGCCUUGACGGUAUCUGACCAGAAAGCCACGGCUAACUACGUGCCAGCAGCGGC